UCUGCCGUGAAAUCNUCUGGCUUAACUGGGGGCGUGCGGUGGGUACGGGCUGACUUGAGUGCGGUAGGGGAGACUGGAACUCCUGGUGUAGCGGUGGAAUGCGCAGAUAUCAGGAAGANCACCGGUGGCGAAGGCGGGUCUCUGGGCCGUUACUGACGCUGAGGAGCGAAAGCGUGGGGAGCGAACAGGAUUAGAUACCCUGGUAGUCCACGCUGUAAACGUUGGGCACUAGGUGUGGGGGCCACCCGUGGUUUCUGCGCCGUAGCUAACGCUUUAAGUGCCCCGCCUGGGGAGUACGGCCGCAAGGCUAAAACUCAAAGGAAUUGACGGGGGCCCGCACAAGCGGCGGAGCAUGCGGAUUAAUUCGAUGCAACGCGAAGAACCUUACCAAGGCUUGACAUGCACGGCGGCACUGCAGAGAUGUGGUGGCAUUUAGUUGGUCGUGUGCAGGUGGUGCAUGGUUGUCGUCAGCUCGUGUCGUGAGAUGUUGGGUUAAGUCCCGCAACGAGCGCAACCCUUGCCCUAUGUUGCCAGCACGUGAUGGUGGGGACUCGUGGGGGACUGCCGGGGUUAACUCGGAGGAAGGUGGGGAUGACGUCAAAUCAUCAUGCCCCUUAUGUCUUGGGCUUCACGCAUGCUACAAUGGCUGGUACAGAGGGUUGCGAUAUCGUGAGGUGGAGCGAAUCCCUUAAAGCCAGUCUCAGUUCGGAUUGGGGUCUGCAACUCGACCCCAUGAAGGUGGAGUCGCUAGUAAUCGCAGAUCAGCAACGCUGCGGUGAAUACGUUCUCGGGCCUUGUACACACCGCCCGUCACGUCACGAAAGUUGGUAACACCCGAAGCCCAU
This 845-nucleotide ribosomal RNA is filed under the name uncultured bacterium. RNAcentral's name for it is "bacterial SSU rRNA". It matches the Rfam family "Bacterial small subunit ribosomal RNA", at positions 588 to 1431 of the family's 1533-position model. The record is from RNAcentral.